Molecule: transfer RNA, 65 nt
Filed under: Dipodomys ordii (Ord's kangaroo rat)
Lineage: Eukaryota; Metazoa; Chordata; Mammalia; Rodentia; Heteromyidae
Rfam family: tRNA
About the family: Transfer RNA (tRNA) molecules are approximately 80 nucleotides in length. Their secondary structure includes four short double-helical elements and three loops (D, anti-codon, and T loops).
Source: Rfam by way of RNAcentral
GGUGGCUCAGUGGUAGAGAGCUUGCCUUGUGUGCAUGAGGGCCUGGGUUCGAUUCCUCAGCACCA